Molecule: long non-coding RNA, 812 nt
Filed under: Vigna radiata
Lineage: Eukaryota; Viridiplantae; Streptophyta; Magnoliopsida; Fabales; Fabaceae
Description: long non-coding RNA (VRAD_LNC016193)
Source: RNAcentral
GCGGAUCGAACUCAGAAUAUGACAAAGGCUGCAGCGGAAGAACAAAGCCCCAGGUUUGUGCGGUUUGACCGGUGAAAAAGGCUAGGGUUCGUGGAAGAAGAGGAUUUAAUCGGUAGAAGUUCGAAAUAAUCGGAGGAAAAACUAUUUGAACGGUGAAACGAGAGGUUUCACCGAUUGAAUCGAUGGAAGGGAAGGAUUCGGGGUUUUAGUCGGUAAAAUGGAUCGAAGAUGAGAUUUCAAUCGGUAGAAUGGUGACAAACCUGACGGAAGAGGUUGUUUUGGUCUUGAUUUCGUGAAGAAAAUGAUGUGAGGAGGAUGUGCUCUGGUCGAAGAAGACACACGGUGGCAGACGCUCCUCGAGAGAGAGAUCUAGGGUUUGGAAAUGACGGAAUGAAAUUGAUGUAGGCAGCGAGAUACGAAUAUGUGGAGUCUGACGCAUGCCACGCGUAGGUUUCGUAGUGGAACGAGUGGCGUGAAUAGAUUGGUUUAUGUGGAGGAGAUACGUAGUGUAGGAGAGAAACAGCACAAUGGUAAAGUGAGAAAUGAAAGAAUGAGGUAGUGUGCUGGAAGGUGGCUAGAGGAGGUCCCUUGGACUCUCUUACCUGACUUUCAAGGGAGAAUUGUUUUCUUAUUUAGAAAGCUAAAUUCUCAUUAAGCUCAAAAGUGAUUACAAGAUGUGUUAGCAUGCCUAUAUAUAGGUCACAUGCCUAACACAAUACAAAGUACAUAAAAGAAAAACUAUACUAAAGACAUUGGGCUUUGGGCCCGCGUAUCAUCCCCUCCCUCUUGGAAAGGAUUUGUCCUCAAAUCUG